RNAcentral lists this ribosomal RNA (379 nucleotides) under uncultured bacterium. RNAcentral describes it as "bacterial SSU rRNA". It matches the Rfam family "Bacterial small subunit ribosomal RNA", at positions 790 to 1167 of the family's 1533-position model. The record is from RNAcentral.
GUAGUCCACGCCGUAAACGAUGAGUGCUAAGUGUUAGAGGGUUUCCGCCCUUUAGUGCUGCAGCUAACGCAUUAAGCACUCCGCCUGGGGAGUACGGUCGCAAGACUGAAACUCAAAGGAAUUGACGGGGGCCCGCACAAGCGGUGGAGCAUGUGGUUUAAUUCGAAGCAACGCGAAGAACCUUACCAGGUCUUGACAUCCCACUGCCCGGUAUAGAGAUAUACCUUUCCCUUCGGGGACAGUGGUGACAGGUGGUGCAUGGUUGUCGUCAGCUCGUGUCGUGAGAUGUUGGGUUAAGUCCCGCAACGAGCGCAACCCUUGAUCUUAGUUGCCAGCAUUUAGUUGGGCACUCUAAGGUGACUGCCGGUGACAAACCGGA